AUUGAACGCUGGCGGCAGGCCUAACACAUGCAAGUCGAACGGUAACAGGAAGAAGCUUGCUUCUUUGCUGACGAGUGGCGGACGGGUGAGUAAUGUCUGGGAAACUGCCUGAUGGAGGGGGAUAACUACUGGAAACGGUAGCUAAUACCGCAUAACGUCGCAAGACCAAAGAGGGGGACCUCCGGGCCUCUUGCCUUCGGAUUUGCCCAGAUGGGAUUAGCUAGUAGGUGGGGUAACGGCUCACCUAGGCGACGAUCCCUAGCUGGUCUGAGAGGAUGACCAGCCACACUGGAACUGAGACACGGUCCAGACUCCUACGGGAGGCAGCAGUGGGGAAUAUUGCACAAUGGGCGCAAGCCUGAUGCAGCCAUGCCGCGUGUAUGAAGAAGGCCUUCGGGUUGUAAAGUACUUUCAGCGGGGAGGAAGGGAGUAAAGUUAAUACCUUUGCUCAUUGACGGUACCCGCAGAAGAAGCACCGGCUAACUCUGUG
Molecule: ribosomal RNA, 490 nt
Filed under: uncultured bacterium
Lineage: Bacteria
Description: partial 16S ribosomal RNA
Rfam family: Bacterial small subunit ribosomal RNA
Source: RNAcentral